GGGAGGCAGACAUGUGUGCCACCUUUGCAUUUUGAAAAGCUGGUCACCCUAAAUAUACUGUUUUUGUGAAAUGUUCCUACUUAGUAGAAAAAUUUCUAAGGGGUAAUAAGAAGUUCAUGCUACUGUAAGAUAUUAAUAUGAUUAUUAGCAAUGCAGAUAGAUUUCCCUAAUAUUUUGUCAUUUUUAGCCAUCUUAUUUUGAUUUACAAGAAUAUCUACAAGCAUCCAUCAUGUACUACCAGCAUAAUUUUACAAGAAGCAGCACAUUAUGAAAACAAUAUUCAAAACCCACAUCUCACUAAGGAUCGGUAUGUCAGCAAUCUUAUAAAUAAAACUCCUCCUACAUCAAAAAGUGAAGAGAAAAUCAAAGCACUUGCUAUUUCUUGUUUCAUUUGACCAUUGUGCAGUUUCCAAACCUGCAAAAAGACAUAGAAAUAUUUAAAAUGCAUCUGGUUUCCAUAUAUCCAUUCUCAUACAUAUAUAUGGUGCAUAUAAAUUAAGAGGCUCAAUUAAACUUGGUACAAAUGUAUUGUUAUGAAAUAUAUUCAUUUUGUUACAUUACAGUUAAACUAGUUGAGGUAUUUAACAAGGGAUAAAAUCAAUUUGCUUAUGUGAAUUAAUUUAUUUGUCAGGUGUUUUGUAGCUUCCAUCCUUAGCAUAAAAGGAUAUCAUAGCUCAUAUCAUAUCUCCAGUAUUACUGCAACAGAUGUUCUAUUUAGUCAUUUAUUUUCAUGUUUAGUGUGAUUGUAGGUCAUAGAUGGGGCAGUGACCAUUAUUUCCCUGUGAGUCAGAGUUCCAGCUCACUGAUUGCUGCCUUUUUUCCUCCUUGAAAAUGUGGCUGUCAAAGGAGGUAGUCCUGUUAAUGCAGUGGCUUUUUCUCUGUGCUCCCAAGGUCUCAUCCCUUUAAGUCAAUGACACUUUAGAAGUGCAGGAUCAAGCAUUGUGAGAGGAAAAUGCUCUGAGAAGAGCCCAGAGCAAAUUCUGUGAGCUGUGUAGGAGGAAAUUUCUCUCCUGCAGACACUCUCCUUACUGAUGAUACUAGUGGACAGGAAGAUGCAUGCGUCGUUUUCAGCACAUGCUUUUGAGAAUCGGGUCUCAAUCUUUUCCCAUUUGAGAGAGAAUGAAUUACUGCCAUUUCUGUUGUGAGAGAGAUCAACAUUUUUUACAGCCUUUUUUACUUAUCAGUGUUUUCUAUAAUAGUUAUCAUUAUCAGUAACUGAAUCAGGAACAUUUGCAGGGCUGGUAAUCAUGCCUACUAGGCAACUGCUGUUGCCGCAGGGGAGACGGGAAGGAUGUAUGUGUUCCGUGUGUCCUAUGGGCAUUGUGGCCACAUCUUUUAACUGUAGACUUAAAUGAUGGAUUCAAAUCUGUUUAAAAGCAGCAGAUCGAGAGAGCAGACGUCAUCAGACUGUAAACUGUCUGAGUUAGUGCAAAACUGGGGAUUAAACUACCUGGAAGUUUCCCAAGAGAAGUAAUGUAAUGUUAAAUUUAGAACAGCAAGGAGAUUAAAAGUUAAGGCAGAAUUUGGUCUGUGCCCUGCUUUUCUAUCAACAUAUCUCAGCUACUUUUGUAAUCUGAUUUGAGGCAGAAAGUGCCAAAAAACAAAACAAAACAAAACAGGAGCAUAAUACAACCACCUUGAUAGCCCAGCCCAAGUGGUACAGGUGAGCUACUGCUGAUUUACUUGUAGAGUGUCCAGAGUAGGUGUCCAGCUUCCUUUGUGAGGGAUCUCAGAAGGUAGUGCUGGGUAUCUGUUUUCCUUUCCUAAACACCAUCUGCAAUGGAGAACUUCUGGAUUCUGGUUUGUUCCUCUUCAGUGUAGGCAUGAGACAAUGACAAGUCUGAGACUUUUGUCUCAUCAGGAUGCAGUGUUAUCAGUAAUGCAGAUGACAGGCGACUUUUCCCCUUAAUUAAACUGAGAUUCAGUGUAGUUGCAUUUCACUUGCCAUAUCCCCCUGAGAAGGGAUUCAAGGAAAAUCAGUUGAACCGUCACAAAAUGGAAGUGAUGGCUGCUACUAGGAGAAGCAUUGAACACAAUGAAUGUCAAGGGUGUCUGUAGCAUUUUGCCAGCUUUUAUUUAAGCAUCAUCUUACAUCAUUUAUUAAGUAUCAUCUUCUGCUUUGAGUGACGGAAACACAAAUAAAAAGGAAAAUAAUUGAAUCCUGAUGCCAACAGAGUAAGUCUCAAGAUUAUCAGGGAAAAGCAUCUUCUGAAAUUUUUUUUUCCUGUUUUAGUAAGGGAAACAGGUUUGCAUAAAAUGUAGUUCUCAAUUUGUUAUCCUCUUUGAUUUGAAUAUAAGGAAUAGGUUUCUAGAACAAAAGGGUUACAGUCCCAUCUACAUUGCUAGUUAUAGCAUAUAUAUUAAGUGAAGUAUUCUUUUCAGAUGAGGUCCACUCCCUUGCAAGUGAAGGUGAUUCAGCUGGCUAGGAGAGACAAUGAGACUAUAUUGGGAAUGUAGGAAAGUAAGGUCAAUUAUACUAUUCUUUACCAGUUGCCCACUGUUUUGUCUCUCUCUCUUUCUCCCUGUCUCUCCCUUUUAUUCUAAUGUUGAUUUCCUCUUGUCCUCCACCCUUCCUGAUGCAUCCACUGGCCAACACAGCUCCCAUUCAUAUGUCACACAUAUUCAAACCAUCUCACCAUACCACUUUUAGGCCUCUUGACAAAUGAUUCUCUCAAAUUACAUUCCUAGCAAUCACAUCCAGGCUUAGUGCAAAGAGGGUAGCCAAAGCUGCAACAAAACAAACCCCAGCCUAUUUUUAAAAUGAUAAUCUGCAGUGAAAAGGCAUGGUGGCACUACCCAUUGAAGGAACGCAGUCUCAUCUUGAUUACAUGGAAGCAGCUGAAGUCACUCCUUUGAGCGAACACUGGAGGAUUUUUGUCAAGGAUUAUUAGUGGGGAGGAAAUCAUAUAUGCACUAAAUAGACUUGGAAAAUAUGCAGCACUGAAGCCAAACUUGUGUGCUGCUGCACAUGGCUGCAGGCUGUUAAGUGUUGCUAUAAUGCUGAUUUAAAGGCUUAUGAAUGCUGAGAAUCUAAGAGGUCAGUCUGGCCCAUGUCCAGGGCUCAUCCUACUGCCCGCCCACAUUGAAUAAUCCAUUUCAUGGUCCAUUGGCUAAACAGUGUGGCCAGGAUAGUGGAGGAUACAGGAUUACUUUAUGUGCUGUCUACAAAAGAGAAUGCAUUGCUUUGGGGAACAGAGGGGGAACACUAUUGUAUUCUCUGUGCAGGAAAUGUUCAGAUUCAGCUCUGCUUUGUUUAAAUGACCUCUCUACAGUGAAUUGAAAUGAUAAAUGAUGUUAAAUGGAUCACUUUCAUGAUUUGUCAAGAACACAUGAUGGCCUCUAACUAAGCAUUUAUAUAGAGCUAUGAAGGUGGGGGUGGGCAGUUAGGAGUACUUUUGUGCUAGGCACUGUGUGAGCAGAGAAAUAGACUGCUUAUGCUCAGAAGCAUCUUUGAAGGCUGGGGAAAGCAAGGCAAAUGUAUGUAUUUGCUACUUUUAAAAAAAUAUUUGCUUCAGAUUUGCAACUGGAUUAAAAAACAAAACAAAGUCUCCCAAGCAGCUCUUAACCUUAACCACAAUGAGCAUUACAAUUUUUUUUGACAGAGUAUGUCAGAAGUAUAUCCUGAGAUGGGAUUUGAGGUGAGGGGAAUAGAAUUUAAUUCUAGAUUAGCUCAGGGCUCACAUGCUCUGCAGAGUGUGGCAUGGAACAAAGCACAAAGAUAGCUGUGGGAUGGGUGGGCAAGAGGCUGGCUGAAACUGCCAUCACUGGUGAAUGGGUAUGGGGAGGGCCUGGCACACUAGGAAACAAGCUCAUAAAUAAGAUGAGGCAGAGUUAGGUAGGCCCUUGCCAGGUUAUGGCUAGGAGCUUGAAGUGAACCAAGUGAAAUAAUCACUAUGGAAUGCCUAGAAAAACAGGAGGAUAUGGUCAAAGUGACAGUUGUUGAAGAUAAUCUGAGCAUUUGUAUUCUGUAUGGAACAAAGGGGGUGAAACAUGCGUCAGAGAGACUGAAGGAGAGAGGUUUUCAGUGAUAAGGACAGGAGAUGAUACAGGUGUGGACACGAAUAUGUAGCUGAGUGGAGCAAAAGUACAGAACAUCUUUCUGCGCCAUUAUGGUGGAAGAAUAAUCAAGGGUUAGUUAUACCCUCACUAUGACAGGCAUUACAGUGGAAGGAGUCAGAGGCAAUGCCCAGGCCACAGGCCUGGCAGAGAGGAAGUAAAUCCAUGGUGUUGUUAAC
Molecule: long non-coding RNA, 4235 nt
Organism: Gavialis gangeticus (Gharial)
Lineage: Eukaryota; Metazoa; Chordata; Crocodylia; Gavialidae
Exons: 2
Source: RefSeq, a predicted model, not a curated record